This is a long non-coding RNA of Cyprinus carpio (common carp), 1609 nucleotides long. RefSeq lists it as uncharacterized. The record is from RefSeq and is a predicted model, not a curated record. NCBI's taxonomy places the organism in Eukaryota, Metazoa, Chordata, Actinopteri, Cypriniformes, Cyprinidae. The transcript is spliced from 3 exons.
AGGUUACGCCGACGUUGCUUGACAAUAUAUGGAGACUUAGGUCUCUGCAGAGCAAAAGUGGUUGCUUAUGGGUGUUUUCAAACUGCUGGAUGUUUCUAAAUCAUGCAAUUUAUUCUAAGCUCUGUCUUUAAUAUCUUGAAUUUACUGUGUAAGAGACGGCUGCGCCGGGCAGUGGAUGAUUGGUUAUGAGAGACCACGCCCCCUUCAGGCUACUCUUACGCGAGGCUCCUCCUCUAUUUCCUGACCCAGGCUCGUAUAGGUCACUGAAGGUUCCAGGGGCCCCACGGUGGGCGUGUCUGUGAUAGCAUUUCCCGUGUUGCGGAACUGUUUAUAAACGCGAGGAUCUUGUGCCACAUAGGUGGAGGAGGAGGAGUAAAAGACCAGUCCCAGGAGGAUGAUGAAGAAGGACAGCAGAAAGAGACAGAUGACAGCUGUGCUGAGCCUCCUUCACACAAGGACAUCCAAAACAAAGCCAGAAAUGCUUCAGAUGUGAUUAUAGCUUUUGUUAUCACUAAAAAACGCCGCUCCACUCAGACCCAAUCUGAUUUUGUUGAGCCACUUCUAACUAUUCCCAGCAAGCAGAAAGAACAUGCAGUAACCCGAAGCUUUCUGCCGAGGCUUGUUUCAUAUCCAUCACUCUAAUUGUACUUCAUGAAUCCUGAAGCUCAAAAACAUGGUCCUAAUACAUUCACCUUACAAAAAAAAAGUCAAGCAGUUUUAUUCACCAGCAAAACAUCCUCCGUACUUCCAUACUUCACUUUAAUAGCACCGUAACCAUUAAAACCAGUCAUUGUGAUACUCCAUAUAAUAAUCAAUUCAAAAGAAGCAGAAUCCCUUUUUGUCCUCCAGACGGUGUAAUCUGUACUAGACGAGGAGAGGGAGUUUAAAACACUAUGCUCAUUGUACAGUAUGACUAAUGGCUUUGUUCAAUGACGGCUUUAGUUGUAAUGGUGGUGUUUAGAGAUGAAGUCUCACAUUGUGGCUGGAUCCUUCCCUGAAGCCAAAGUGCCUCUGAAAUCCCCUGAUAAAUCGUCUAGUAUUUCAGUGAAGAAUCCUUGCUCAUUCUUUUAAAGGCGUUGUAUUAUUGCAUUUUGGAUCUGCUUCAAUUCAAUGCAGCUUUUUAAAGCGGUUCGUAUUGAAGGAUGGGGCAGCACAACCUAUAUUGAACCCAACGGCAAACUCGCAAAUAAGCACUGCUGUGAACAGGGUUUGAAAUGAACUUUUUCACUCAACAGCCAAUUUGGUAACUAACUUUUUAAGUUACCAGGCAUUCAGAACUUCUACAGUACAAGCUAAAACAAAAAAUAUCAGAAGAAAAACAGAUUGUAAGACAGAAAUCAUGGCUUAGAUUUAAAGUAUGUUUAUUAUUAAACAUGAAUUGAAAGUUUUCAGAUUGUUUGUGGAUCCACUGCAUUGCUUAAAAAAAUAAAAAUAUAUAUAAAAUCUCAGUGACUUUACAUAUGAAACAAAUAAAACAAUAAAAUUAGUUUCAAUUUUAGAAAACAUUUGAGUUAGAAAGUAUUUGACUUUUAAAGACGUGCACUUCUUGUCCAGUGUGCGGCCCUCUUUUCGCUUUGUUUUGCUAAUGCCAGAGGCUCCUGGUUGGAAA